CCUACGGGGGGCUGCAGUGAGGAAUAUUGGUCAAUGGCCGGAAGGCUGAACCAGCCAUGCCGCGUGAAGGUCAGUGCCCUAUGGGCGUUAAACUUCUUUUGUGCGGGAGCAAUAAUGGUCACGUGUGGCCAGACGAGAGUACCGUACGAAUACGCAUCGGCUAACUCAGUGCCAGCAGCCGCGGUAAUACGGGGGAUGCAAGCGUUAUCGGGAUUGAUUGGGGUAAAGGGGUGCGUAGGCUGUGAGGUAAGUCAGCGGUAAAAUUGAGGGGCUAAACCUCUUCGAGCCGUUGAAACUGGUUUUCUUGAGUGAGCGAGAAGUAUGCGGAAUGUAUGGUGUAGCGGUGAAAUGCUUAGAGAUCAUACAGAACACCGAUUGCGAAGGCAGCUUACUAAACUGUGACUGACAUUGAUGCUCGAAAGUGUGGGUAUCAAACAGGAUUAGAUACCCUGGUAGUC
Molecule: ribosomal RNA, 458 nt
Filed under: uncultured bacterium
Lineage: Bacteria
Description: partial 16S ribosomal RNA
Rfam family: Bacterial small subunit ribosomal RNA
Source: RNAcentral